UAUUACACGACUGCCCAAACAAAAAGAGUGUAUUGUGGUCAGCGUACAAAAUGUAGGGUACCUUUCAAUUCGCUUUAAAAUGCAGCAGUCGUGUUUUUAAUUUUUUAAUUUUAUUAUUUUUUUACCAAUUACAAACAAAAUGAUAAUAAAAACAACAUUAAAAUUAAAACUAAAAUUUAACACAUCUUAAAUUAACUUAUAGGUAAACUAAGUUCAUUCUGUGUGCGUUCACUCAGAAAUGCGUGGUUAAAAUUAUUCGUUUUCCUCAUGUUACGCCGUGUAUACAUAUUUCAUAUGUUAUUUUACCUCUUCAUCAUUAUAACACGUUUAUUUUUUAAUAUUGAAUAUUGAAAAACCGUUCUGAAUAAGUUGUCUUCAUGGAACGGAAUAACUGCCUAAACGCCUGUCAAAGAAGAGGCGUUUUUCUUAAUGCAAGCAUUUUUUAAGUUUCCAAAGGCAACAUUCCAUAUUGUUUUUAUAAAUAUACGAUACACAAAUAAUCGUAAAUAACGAUACUUUGGUAAUAAUAAUACAAUAUUAUAUAUUUACAAUUGUUUAUGUCUUAUAGAACAUGCAU
This is a long non-coding RNA of Cydia fagiglandana, 577 nucleotides long. RefSeq lists it as uncharacterized. The transcript is spliced from 2 exons. The record is from RefSeq and is a predicted model, not a curated record. NCBI's taxonomy places the organism in Eukaryota, Metazoa, Arthropoda, Insecta, Lepidoptera, Tortricidae.